This 1064-nucleotide long non-coding RNA is filed under the name Equus caballus (horse). RNAcentral describes it as "lncRNA (ENSECAG00000034154.3)". Lineage: Eukaryota; Metazoa; Chordata; Mammalia; Perissodactyla; Equidae. The record is from RNAcentral.
UGAACGUGCGAAAGAGUGGCUCUCCAAAGCAUGGAGGAAAGAAAGGGCGUUCCUGCUGAACAGCCGGGGCAGCUGGUGCUGUAAAAGGGCGCUCGUGAGACUCCUCUCUGCCGGGGCUGGGGCCUCCGGCUGGGCUGCUGUCUUCUGAGGUUGAGUGGAGUCAGAGCUGGGAGACGUGGGAGCUGGUGGGUCCGAGGGAGGUGUAGGGGACAGUGGAGACGUGCCAAGUCGGUGGGCCUGCACGACCCCUGCAGCAGCCGCCACGAGGGGUUCCGACGCUCAGCUUUCUUGGCCGGGCCCGACUGGGAGUUGCUGGAUGCCCCCGUGAGCAGCUAAGAUGGUCCCUGCGAGUCAGUGCUUUACUCAUGAAGGUCGGAGACGCAAGGGAGCAGCACGUUGUCCAGCCCCUUUCUCAUGCAGAUGGGGAAACUGAGGCCCAGAGUGAGUCAGUUCUCCUGAUUCUACGUGCUUGCCAAAUUACUCUUUACUUAAACGUUUCAAACAGACUUUUCAAAUGUCUUGUCCUGUGUCGUCGGCUGCACACCAUGUUAAGCCUGCUGGCCUUGGGCCUGCCACGCCCCUGGCCCUGUGCAUACAGGGCCUGCAGCACUGAACAAGACUCCAACAGCCGGCCAGUUUGUUCAGACAGGAAGUGGCAGACGGAUCCAGGAGGGAAGAAAAGUCAUUUAAGGACACUCAGAACGUGGAUGCACAGGAUGGCGAGAGAUGCUCCUAAAGAAAGCUAUCAGUACCAGAAUCCAAGAAACAGAAAAAAUCUGUGUCGUUUUGGAAGUCUUCCCCAUCUCUGCAAGGCGGCGAAUUACACCAAUUUUUUGGCGUUAAAGCAAGAUUUACGCUAGCAUCCUGGACCAGGCCUGAUAUGGACAUGAUGUGUUUUCCUUUUCAUAUAUUGCUGUCUUUGGCUUGUUAAUUUUAUUUAGGACUAUUAUAGAUGUUUAUGAGUAAAAUUAGUCUGUAAUUUUCUUUCUCAUACUGUUCUUGUUGGGUUUUGGUGUUAAAAUUUCUCUAGUCUCACAAAAUAAAAUGAGGAGUGUUCUCACUUU